AUAUUACAGCCAACUAAUUAGGUAUCCUGCCCUGCGACGGAAGGCUGAGUUGGGCUGAGUCACGUUCGAAACGGCGUGAGGCUCGAUAAGUCAAGUCAUAUUUGAACUGGCGUGAGACCAGAUGGGCGAAGUCACAAUUGAGAUCCGCGGACGUUGUAUCUGUACGCUUUAAGUGAAUUGAUUGCGUAUUUUUAUCAGCUCAAACUUUUGGGAUUAAUGGUUAGCACGAACGAUCUGACAAAUGAUAUUAGAGCCAGAGGUUACGGGUUCGAUUCCCGAUUCCCGCAUGCUGCAAAUAUGUCCAGAUGCUGGAGGGAGGAUGG
This 323-nucleotide long non-coding RNA is filed under the name Ananas comosus (pineapple). RNAcentral's name for it is "long non-coding RNA (ACOM_LNC031168)". Lineage: Eukaryota; Viridiplantae; Streptophyta; Magnoliopsida; Poales; Bromeliaceae. The record is from RNAcentral.